UCAUUUCCCAUCUCUCAGCUGCCUUUGAAACCUCUUGUCUAUCAAACUCUCUGAAAUCCUAGCCUUCUUCUACCUCUCUUCAACCACCACUCCACUGGAAUCCAUGGCUUCUCAGGCCAUUGAUGGUUGGUACUCACUCCCCUCCAUCAGUAAACCAUGGUUGUUCGAAGCUUCGAGACCGAACCUCGAUGGUUCUCCUUCAGAUCCUUCUCAAAUCAUUAGAUCUACGGCUUCUCCGUCCAUUACCCCGACAUAUUCAAGCACUAUGAGCCUUUUCGACUCAUGAUCUGACUUUCUUCAAGACCCUUCUCAUUUCUAGGGUUUUCUCUGAAACCCUAAGUUGUCUGAGGUUCUU
Molecule: long non-coding RNA, 355 nt
Filed under: Nicotiana benthamiana
Lineage: Eukaryota; Viridiplantae; Streptophyta; Magnoliopsida; Solanales; Solanaceae
Description: long non-coding RNA (NBEN_LNC032686)
Source: RNAcentral